This 77-nucleotide transfer RNA is filed under the name Maritalea myrionectae. RNAcentral's name for it is "tRNA-Pro". It matches the Rfam family "tRNA". From Rfam's summary of the family: Transfer RNA (tRNA) molecules are approximately 80 nucleotides in length. RNAcentral also lists the same sequence under 4 other names. Lineage: Bacteria; Pseudomonadati; Pseudomonadota; Alphaproteobacteria; Hyphomicrobiales; Devosiaceae. The record is from RNAcentral.
CGGGGCGUAGCGCAGCCUGGUAGCGCAUCUGUCUGGGGGACAGAGGGUCGUAGGUUCAAAUCCUGCCGCUCCGACCA